GCCCGUCUAGCUCAGUCGGUAGAGCGCAAAGCUCUUAACCUUGUGGUCGUGGGUUCGAGCCCCACGGUGGGCG
This 73-nucleotide transfer RNA is filed under the name Zea mays. Its description in RNAcentral is "tRNA-Lys (CTT) (tRNA-Lys-CTT-12-1)". It matches the Rfam family "tRNA". Rfam says of the family: Transfer RNA (tRNA) molecules are approximately 80 nucleotides in length. Their secondary structure includes four short double-helical elements and three loops (D, anti-codon, and T loops). Lineage: Eukaryota; Viridiplantae; Streptophyta; Magnoliopsida; Poales; Poaceae. RNAcentral also lists the same sequence under 1 other name. The record is from Rfam by way of RNAcentral.